RNAcentral lists this ribosomal RNA (814 nucleotides) under uncultured marine bacterium. Its description in RNAcentral is "bacterial SSU rRNA". It matches the Rfam family "Bacterial small subunit ribosomal RNA", at positions 56 to 899 of the family's 1533-position model. The record is from RNAcentral.
UGCAAGUCGAACGCGAAAGUCCCUUCGUGGGGCGAGUAGAGUGGCGAAAGGGCGAGGAAUAUGUUCCUACGUACCCCCAGGUCAGGGAUAGCCCAUGGAAACGUGGAGUAAUACCUGAUGUGGUCUCCGGAUCAAAGGCUUCGGUCGCCCGGGGAGCGGGGAACAUCCUAUCAGGUUGUUGGUGAGGUAAAGGCUCACCAAGCCGAAGACGGGUAGCGGGUGUGAGAGCAUGACCCGCCGCAUCGGGACUGAGACACUGCCCGGACUCCUACGGGAGGCUGCAGUAACGAAUAUUCCGCAAUGCGCGAAAGCGUGACGGAGCAAUGCCGCGUGCAGGAUGAAGCCCCUCGGGGUGUAAACUGCUGUCAGGGUGCAGGAAAAAAAUGACCAUACCCAAAGGAAGGGCCGGCUAACUUCGUGCCAGCAGCCGCGGUAAUACGAAGGGCCCGAGCGUUAAUCGGAAUCACUGGGCUUAAAGCGUACGUAGGCUGACCUGCAGGUACUUUGUGAAAUCCCACCGCUCAACGGUGGAACUGCUUGGUAAACCGCAGGUCUUGAGUCAGGUAGGGGCCAUCGGAACGAUAGGUGGAGUGGUGAAAUGCGUUGAUAUCUAUCGGAACGCCAAAGGAGAAAUCAGGUGGCUGGGCCUGUUCUGACGCUGAGGUACGAAAGCGUGGGGAGCGAACGGGAUUAGAUACCCCGGUAGUCCACGCCGUANACGAUGUGCACUAGGUCGAGGACGUACCGACACGCUUCUUGGCCGAAGCGAAAGUGUUAAGUGCACCGCCUGGGGAGUACGGUCGCAAGGCUAAAA